UUCGCCAUGAGCAACUCUAAGUGUCCAUGGGACACCGAAUCGGUAACCCGUGGCUACCAUAAGUGCU
Caenorhabditis elegans is the source of this 67-nucleotide non-coding RNA. The record is from Ensembl. Lineage: Eukaryota; Metazoa; Nematoda; Chromadorea; Rhabditida; Rhabditidae.